RNAcentral lists this ribosomal RNA (839 nucleotides) under uncultured bacterium. RNAcentral describes it as "bacterial SSU rRNA". It matches the Rfam family "Bacterial small subunit ribosomal RNA", at positions 100 to 924 of the family's 1533-position model. The record is from RNAcentral.
GGAUGGGUGAGUAACACGUGGGGAACCUGCCCCUUAGUCUGGGAUACCAUUUGGAAACAGGUGCUAAUACCGGAUAAUAAAGCGGAUCGCAUGAUCAGCUUUUGAAAGGCGGCGUAAGCUGUCGCUAAGGGAUGGCCCCGCGGUGCAUUAGCUAGUUGGUAAGGUAACGGCUUACCAAGGCGACGAUGCAUAGCCGAGUUGAGAGACUGAUCGGCCACAUUGGGACUGCGACACGGCCCAAACUCCUACGGGAGGCAGCAGUAGGGAAUCUUCCACAAUGGACGCAAGUCUGAUGGAGCAACGCCGCGUGAGUGAAGAAGGUUUUCGGAUCGUAAAGUUCUGUUGUUGGUGAAGAAGGAUAGAGGUAGUAACUGGCCUUUAUUUGACGGUAAUCAACCAGAAAGUCACGGCUAACUACGUGCCAGCAGCCGCGGUAAUACGUAGGUGGCAAGCGUUGUCCGGAUUUAUUGGGCGUAAAGCGAGCGCAGGCGGAAAAAUAAGUCUAAUGUGAAAGCCCUCGGCUUAACCGAGGAACUGCAUCGGAAACUGUUUUUCUUGAGUGCAGAAGAGGAGAGUGGAACUCCAUGUGUAGCGGUGGAAUGCGUAGAUAUAUGGAAGAACACCAGUGGCGAAGGCGGCUCUCUGGUCUGCAACUGACGCUGAGGCUCGAAAGCAUGGGUAGCGAACAGGAUUAGAUACCCUGGUAGUCCAUGCCGUAAACGAUGAGUGCUAAGUGUUGGGAGGUUUCCGCCUCUCAGUGCUGCAGCUAACGCAUUAAGCACUCCGCCUGGGGAGUACGACCGCAAGGUUGAAACUCAAAGGAAUUGACGGGGGCCCGC